Molecule: ribosomal RNA, 473 nt
Filed under: uncultured bacterium
Lineage: Bacteria
Description: bacterial SSU rRNA
Rfam family: Bacterial small subunit ribosomal RNA
Source: RNAcentral
GACGACGACUCCUACGGGAGGCAGCAGUGGGGAAUAUUGCACAAUGGGGGAAACCCUGAUGCAGCCAUGCCGCGUGUGUGAAGAAGGCCUUCGGGUUGUAAAGCACUUUCAGUAGGGAGGAAGGUAGUGUAGUUAAUACCUGCAUUAUUUGACGUUACCUACAGAAGAAGCACCGGCUAACUCCGUGCCAGCAGCCGCGGUAAUACGGAGGGUGCGAGCGUUAAUCGGAAUUACUGGGCGUAAAGCGCAUGCAGGCGGCCUGUUAAGUCAGAUGUGAAAGCCCCGGGGCUUAACCUCGGAAUUGCAUUUGAAACUGGCAGGCUAGAGUCUUGUAGAGGGGGUAGAAUUUCAGGUGUAGCGGUGAAAUGCGUAGAGAUCUGAAGGAAUACCAGUGGCGAAGGCGGCCCCCUGGACAAAGACUGACGCUCAGAUGCGAAAGCGUGGGGAGCAAACAGGAUUAGAUACCCUUGUAG